Molecule: non-coding RNA, 19 nt
Filed under: Rattus norvegicus (Norway rat)
Lineage: Eukaryota; Metazoa; Chordata; Mammalia; Rodentia; Muridae
Source: RNAcentral
UCGGUAAUCAAAUGGUAGC